GACUUGGAUUCAACAGAUGCAGCCAUGUGCCUUUUGGGCCAGGAUCAAGACGUACCUCAGCAAAGCCUUAAUAUUCAACUGGAUGUCAACAGCGAGGCAGAUGAGUCUUCUUUCACCGAUGAUGAACAGCCCCUCUCAUGAGAUGAACUUCUCACGAAAAUAGCUAAUAAGUCUGCAAACAGAAAGUCUGGCCUCAAAGGGAGCAAGAAAAACACCAAGUCAAAGAAAGCAUCUUUUUUUGGCAUAGUACACAUGAUUUYACCCAUUUUGUCCWAUAACUGACAUAUUUGUGUGAAUGCCAUUUAAGGCAUUCACACCACUGUAUUCAUGUUUCUCUUUAUUAUU
Molecule: long non-coding RNA, 345 nt
Organism: Austrofundulus limnaeus
Lineage: Eukaryota; Metazoa; Chordata; Actinopteri; Cyprinodontiformes; Rivulidae
Exons: 3
Source: RefSeq, a predicted model, not a curated record